Molecule: ribosomal RNA, 380 nt
Filed under: Cellana talcosa
Lineage: Eukaryota; Metazoa; Mollusca; Gastropoda; Nacellidae
Description: partial 12S ribosomal RNA
Rfam family: Bacterial small subunit ribosomal RNA
Source: RNAcentral
UAAAAGAAAUAAAUAUUAAUUCACUUUUGCUUGGGCACUACGAACACAUGUUUAAAACCCAAAGAACUUGGCGGUACUUUAACCCACUUAGGGGAACCUGUCCUUUAAUUCGAUAAUCCACGACAAUCUUAUUUAUUUUAGAACACUUCAGCUUGUAUACCGUCGUCAUAAGUUAACCUUAAAAAGAAAAAAAGUUAACAACAAAGAUAAAAUUUAAUAAUUUUCUCCUAGGUCAGAUCAAGGUGCAGCUAAUAAAUAAAGAGGAGAUGGGUUACAAUUGAUAAAUUUCAAAUGGAAUUUUUAAAGAAAAUAAAAACGAAAUAGGACUUAAAAGUAAUUUUAUGAUAACAAACAUUAAUGAAUAAGGAAAUAAAGUGUGC